This is an RNA transcript of Mauremys reevesii (Reeves's turtle), 7417 nucleotides long. It is a transcript of the gene named shortage in chiasmata 1, with no coding region annotated. The record is from RefSeq and is a predicted model, not a curated record. The transcript has 36 exons. NCBI's taxonomy places the organism in Eukaryota, Metazoa, Chordata, Testudines, Geoemydidae.
CCGCGAGGCUCUAGGGACCAAUCAGGGCCCAGCUCAGCUUCCCGCUCUGGGAUCCAGGGGGGUGCGUGAGAUCACCAGUGGCGGGAGCAAGAGGCGGAACGAGGCGGCAAGUGAAGUUUUGAAUACAUCGCCAAACGAGGAAGAUAAUGUUUGCAGCUCUUAAAUAUCAUGCAGUAGACUAUUUAUAUGAGAAUGUGGCAAGACAGAAGUUUUCUAUUGAUCGGUUAUCAUUUCGUGUUCCUCCCUGUUUACAUCAAGAUGAGAAUUACUAUCAUACUGGAGUCUUUGCUGAUGAUAAGUACAGGAGGCCAUGGAAAAGAGUUUCAGUUGUUUCCACACAAAAAAUGAUGGAUCUUUCAGUCCUGGAUCAAUGGAAGCAAAGUUUAUAUGUAGAGGAUUUCCUGGAGAAGAAACCAAUUUCAUGCACAGAAUUCCAUAUUAAUAAUGAACUAAUAGAAGUUGUUCCAAGUUCAAAUCCCUACUCACAGACUGACACAGAAGAAGCCUAUUUACUUAUCAAGAAUGACUACAAAGAAGAAUUCACCCAAGUUAUUUGUGUUAAGCCUGACUACGUCCCAGUACUUAAAGCACAAGAUCAAGAUUUAUAUAUUGCAGAUGACCUUGUUUUUUUUGAUAAUUUGGAAAAAUAUCGUAAACAACUACCUACUCUGCGUACCCUCCUGGCUAGACUAAAAAUGUUCUUAGUGAAGGAUCCCCUCUUAAAUUCUAAAGGACAGAUUUUGACUGAAGAGAACCUUUUCAGAGAAUGUUUGACUUUCCAAAGCAAUGCAGAGACACACGAAAAUGAAAAAGAACUACAUGCAGUUAAGGAAGAUUUUUGUCGAAUGUCUUUAAAGGAUGAGGAGUCAUUAAUGCUGCCUGUUGAGUUAGAAUCCAAUGAGACAACAAACUUCAGACAGAAAGUUGAGAUUCCAUCGUGCUUGGAACUGAAAGAGUUGUUAAAAUUAGCACCAGAAAUUAUAGCAGAUGAAAGCAGGAGUGAAAAGAAAAUCAAAGAUCUUACUGCAAAUAUUACAAACGAAAUAGAGAUUUCAAAAUACUGUCCCACAAUGGAGGAGGUUUGUUUCAAUCAGAGCAGAAAUUCACUGGAAUGCAGUGAGGCAGUUCGUUACGCUUUAUAUCCUCAAUAUGAAGUAGAAAUACCGCUAACUCCGCCAUGCAGACCACAAAGAUCACAUGUGAAUUCACUUCAUGCAGGACUUCAGGCAGAACCUAUUUCUCCUGUUGGUAACAGUAUUCUGUUUACAGAGUCAACUAAGGAGUACUUAGAGUGCCUGGUGUGGCAGUCAGAAAAAUACCAAAAUGCUGUGAACUCUCUUUUGCUUGAAGAGAAUCAGACCAUUGAACCUACAUUUCAACAUCAUUCAGUUACAGAACUGAAAGAGAUGUUGUCCAUCCAUGUGGAAGCGCCAGUGUUUAGCCCAUUGAAAUCAGACUGGUGGAUUCAUUCAGGACUAAAUCUGGUAUUACCAGAUUCUUUGGAGCAACUAAGCACUGAUUUGAGUAGUGCAAAUAGUAUGUUUACCACUAAAGUGGAAGUAUUCUCACAAAUUACACAAUUUCAGUUAGAAAGGUGGCUUGAAGAGAAGUGUUCCCUUACUAACCCAGGACUGCUUUCUGUCAGUGCACAUCACUGGGACAAAACAACAAAUUCUCAUUUCUCACCUGAAAAGAAGAGCCCAUUCUCUCCAUUACAUUUGAGAGCUGCACCUCAUGUUAACAUACAUGAUACAAAUACAUCUGUUGAAUGGCUAACAAGACAGGAAAAACAGCACAGUGAGACAGAAGGACCAAUGCAUUUCUUGUAUCACGAAAAGAAAAACAAAGAUUUGUAUGACUCACUUAACUGUAAAGAAGUAUCUUUUGAACCAAACAGCUCAACAAAAAGCCAGAAGACUCCACUAUUCGAACAGUCUGGACAAUGUAAUGAUGAUUCUGACCUUCUGAGCAGUUUUAUCAUGCUAAGAUCUAAACACGUGUUCAUCCAAAAUGAGGAAAAAAAUAAUGUGGAUAGGCAGAAAGAUGCACUGGAAAUUAAAGAGUGUCCAGAAGGUCUUAAAGAAGACAGUCCUGCUGUUUGUAAGGCUACAUUGACAGAGAAAAUAGAACAGGAGAAUCAAGGCAGCAUCUCAGUCAAAAUUCAAGCAUCAGAAACCCAGUGCCAGGCAUACCGUCUAUUAGAAGCAACAGCCACUCCCGUUCUAAAAGAGUUGAUGCAUCUUGGCAUACUCGCCGCAGUGAAUUGGAGCUUUGCCACUGUUAAAUUUGAUCACACUAGAUUUUUCUUAAAACAGCAGGAGAAAGUGAUCUGUGAUAUUUUUAAACAAGGUAAAAAUAGUGAGAAAGAGAUACUGUUGUUCAAACAUGCUGCUCUGGUGCACCUGUUGGUAACAGUUCGAGACCUCCUAUUAAUGUGUAGCUUGGACACAGCAUUAGGGUAUUUGUCCAAGGCAAAGGAUAUCUAUACAAGCAUCUUAGGUUCCUGUUUGGAUAAUAUUUGGAGGCAGCUGGAGAUUGUACAGUAUAGCAGGCAGAAGAAGAAUGAAAUCAGUCCCAAACUAACAGAGCUUCAGUGUCAGAUGUUCAAGUGGGUGCAGAGUAGUACAGAUGAACAGAAUAAUAAGGUACUAAUCAUAACAAGAAUGGACUUUGAUCAUGAAAAAGCUGCCAUCACUAAAACCCUUAGUGCAGUAGAAGGUUUCAAAGCCAUGGUUUUGAAUCCUGAGAAAAGAGGAGUUCUGUUAGAGCACAAUGUCAUAAGCAGUCUGAGUAGAUGUUCCUGUGUUAUUGUACAUAAUCAGCACAUUGGAGCUGACUUUCCAUGGACUCUUUUCUCAUUAGUGGUGGAGUAUGAUUACACAGAGAACUCCUGCUGGGACGAGCUGUGCAAAAAUUUGAAUAUUACUUACAUAACUUUUAAAACCACUCUUCCAGAAACACUUGGAGUGGUUUCAGGUGAAAAUUUUGGCUGCUUCCUUUUGGAGGUGCAGAUUCCGUAUGUGUUUCUGACAUCUGAAGGACUUCUUAAUGCACCGGAAAUCCUUCAGCUUCUAGAAUCCAAGUACAAUAUUACUUUUGUUGAGAGAAGUUGCAGUGAAUCAUUACAGCUCUUUGGAGGUACAGAACGCUAUGUCGUGAUAACAAUAGAUGAACGCACUGCCAUAAUUAUUGAGACUUUGGAAGAACUGAAUUAUGAGAAAUCCUCUGAUAAUAUCAUAUUAAGACUGAUGGCACUAUCACUCCAAUACAGUUGCUGUUGGAUCAUUUUGUAUUCCAGAGAGAGACUGAAUUCAGAGUACAGCCUCACAGGAGAGACUCUGCAUCAUCUAUCCUUAAUUUAUGCUGCUUUGGUUCCAUUUUCACAGAAAUCAGAAGACUUUGAAGUGAAGGUAGCUCUUGUGCCAGGGGUUGAAGAGACAGCAUUGUUAAUUCGUCAGAUUGCUGACAACAUUUUGAUGUCUUCUAAAACAAAUCCUCGUGAAUGGUUGGACAAAUCCUGGCUUUCUAUCUUGCCAUCUGAGGCAGAGAAGUGCUUGCUUACUUUUCCAUGUAUAAACCCUCUAGUAGCUCAGCUCCUGUUAAAGAAGGGGUCUUCACUGAAGUGGCUGUUGUUGGCAACUUUUGACCAACUUCAGGAACUCCUGCCUGAGGUUCCAGAAAAAGUUUUAAAGCAUUUUUGUGACAUCACUUCUUUGUACAACCUAAAUUCUUCCACUCCUCCAAAAUCACCCAAGAAAACCAUAUCACCUCAAGAACAAUGGAGCUGCUUCAACAUGACCUUUCCUCAGGCUUCGUUUUCCAAGUCUUUGCUCUCUAAUAUUCAAAGAGAUUAUCACUAUUCAGAAUUGCUUGAUAACAUAGAGAACAGCACAAGUCAGUGCUUGGAUUAUUACAAAAAUGAGUCUUGUUCUCCUUCGAGAUCAAGUGAGAGGCAGAGCAUGUUAACAUCUUCGCUGUCUUAUUGUGGACAGGUCAGUUGCUUUGAUGAGACAGACCAUGAUAUAAAUGGUCAGCAGUACCUUCCUUUUAUGAAAAAUGUGGGAACAGAGAGUGCAGAUAGUUCCUCAUUCUUAAAACAGAGUGAUUCAGAUGUAUUUUCUUUGGAAUCAAGCCAUGUGAAUUAUGAAGCCAGAAUCUCACCACCAGAGACCCCUAAGGAGUAUUACAAUUCAGUGUCCAGCAAGGAUACAGAGGAGAGCUUAACAAUUCCCAUCAGUAAGGAAGUUUAUGAAAUCCUUACGAGAAGAGAGAGCUGUCUAUGUGACCUCAUUGAAAAGAAGUUUGGUUGCACGUCUCUCCUUAAGAGUAUAAGAUGUCCCCUUGAAGUAUACAGGAAAAGCCUGAAGGAAGGAAUUGAAAUAUCUGUUUGGAUGGAUGAUAUGACAAUACAUAAUGCUGAUGCUUUGGUGAAUGCAGCUAAUGAACAUCUGGACCAUAUUGGAGGCCUUGCUCUUGCCCUGGUGAAAGUUGGUGGGCCAGAAAUUAAGCAAGAGAGUAAAUGUUAUAUCGAUCGCCAUGGAACACUCACCACUGGCCAAAUAGCAGUGACAGGUGGAGGCAGGCUUUCGUGUAAGAAAGUUAUCCACACAGUAGGUCCAAGAUGGUCUGCAAAUGAAAGUGAGAGAUGUUGUCACAUGCUUGAGACAGCCAUUAUAAAUGUCCUGAAAUAUGUUAAUGCUCCGGAGAAUAAUAUAAAGUCUGUUGCAAUCCCUGCAGUAAGCUCAGGAAUUUUUGGCUUCCCACUAGAUUUAUGUGCUCAUGUGAUCGUACGGACUAUAAAGAAUUUUGUUGAGCUAGCUCCAUUAUUUGGCUGGUUGAAAGAAAUCCACUUGGUGAACAUUGCUGAGCCCACAGUUGCUGCAGUGAAAAAGGCCUGUGAAGAGUUGCUGGGCAGGAGUGACAUCAACUCACUUCAGGAGACUCCACCAGCUUCAGCAAACUGUCUUCCAGAUUCCAUCACAAUCAAUGGCCUUUGCCUACACAUCAUAAGAGGACACAUUGAAGAUCAGCAAACUGCAGUCAUUGUUAAUUCUGUGGUCAUGAAUGAUGAUCUCUCAAGAGGAAACCUUUCAAGAGCAAUUCUAGAAAAAGCAGGCCUCUCUCUUCAGAAGGAAUUUCUGUUUGAGUUACAAAAACUUCCUCCAUAUUGUGAGAAAUUCAUAUUGACAAAAGGAUACAAUCUUGCUUGCAAGUCUGUGCUCCACAUAGUAUGGUCCUCAGAAAGCAGCAGUGAUUCACGCAAGGGACUAAAAACUGCAAUGUCAAGAUGUUUGCUUAAGAUUCAGGAGUAUCAGCUUCCCUCAAUUUCCUUCCCUGCAAUUGGGACUGGAGUGUUAAAUUUGCCAAAUGAUGAAGUGGCAGAUAUUAUGAUUGAUGAAGUUUUAAGCUUUGCAAAGGAACAUCCUUGGAAGAAGACAGAUGUGUAUUUUGUGAUCCAUCCAAAUGACAGUUAUGCCUAUAAGGCUUUUCAAACCAAGUUUGAGUCAGCAAAAAACAAACUGAUAGGAGACAUGGAAUGCAACAAAAGUGAUGAUUUGAGGUCACGCUCUGACAGACAAGCUGAAAUAGAGAAUAAAAAAACUGGACCAGCCAUUGAACUUAUUGGCAACUGCUAUGAAAAACUGGAAGCAGCAAAAAUAUGGAUUGAAGACAUAAUGCAAGUCCAGGAAAGUCACCUUAUCGUUAUAGAAAACAAUCACAUUUUUAACCUUAGCAAAAGAGAGCAUGCAGAACUUUCUCAUCUGCAGCGUUUCGGUGUAUCCAUAUUGGAAGAAGUGGUUGGUGGAAAAGCAAAAUUAGAGAUUCAAGGUCCUCCUGGUGCCAUAAUUGAUGCGGUGUUUGUGAUCGAAAACUUACUGUGUUAUGUGCAAGAGAAUAAUAGAACCAAACAAGAGGAACUGCCGCAGUUAGAGGGCCGACUGGAAACUAAUUAUCCUCCAGAAAAACUCCGAGACGAGACAAGGGAUACCAAAAUGCAUUACCAGAUCUCAGAAGCAGACUUAUACUGUCAGGAAUUCAAGGAUCGAGAAAAACAGUUUGAAAAAGCUGGGCUUCGUGUUCUCAAGCAAAGCUCUAAGAAUUUUCAAGGAGAAUUUGGAGGCUUGGCAUAUAGCUGUCCAGAAGCUCAGGUUGAAGAGACACUUUGGAGUGAAUAUCCAUCCAGCCAUGCAUUGGAUUCAUUUGCACCUGACCUCAGACUCUGUGAUUCAGUUGCAAAUCCAGAUGAAUACAGUAGUCUGAAUUUUCACCAAAUAGCUGGAGAGUUUUCAGGAAAGAGAAGGCCCAGUACAUCAUUAUCAAACUUAACAGAAGAAGACGUUUUAACAGUCCCUCAGUCAAUUCGCAGUAAGGUUGAAAUGUUCUACCUAUCAACAUGGGGCGGCACAAUCUUCCAGAAGUCUAGGUUCAGAAGUCUGGGAUAGGCUCACACUGGAGGUUUGAAACUCAAGAGUCAGAAUCCCGCAAGACAUCCAGCGCAGAAUAUAAGAUAACUGAUCUUCUAAAAUGGUACCUUAGCAUGAAUGCAAUAUCUGCUGGAAGAAAGCACCCCUGGAAAUCACUUCUUAGACAAUAUUCAUUCGUAAACCACUGUGAAUGUAAUGUGAAGGCCAUCUGGAGAUGCAAGCAUAGGGAGAUGACUCAACUUUGGGUGAAGGGGAACCGGGUCCCUUACUGGCCAUUUUGGGUAGUAUGCCGUGCUCCUCUGGAGGGACAGUUUCCUGCUCUCAAGUGGAGGUAGCUGCCUUUUCCCUGGUCACCGCCAAUGGAGGAAUGGGGAUUGAGAGCACGGCUGAAUAGAAACAAUCUACAGUUACAGCGGGAGAAGAUAAAAGUUAACUUGGAAGUGUGCCAUCAACGCCUGUUGCCUUUGAUCUCUAAACCCUUCCUAGACUCCAAAAUGAAGAAGGGUCUUAUUUGAAGUGCAGAGUAUCAAACUGAUUACGCACCCAACAUCCUGCUGUUUCUGAAGACUCAUUUUAAAAAUAGCUACAGACACCGUAUCCGCCAACAAGCAAAAAAAGAGAGGAGGGACGUCCGGAGGGAGAAACGUGUUUUAACUCUAGUGCCCAGAGGGACUAGGAAUCCAUUUGGAGGGCCAGGGUAGAAAAAAAGUAAGCACUUUGCUACAGAAGAGGUAUUGUUGGUAUGUAUGUAUGUAAGAGACAAAAAGAAAACCCAAUGGAAACUGGUCAUUUCUAGGGCUUGGGGUUUACAGCAGAUAGCAUAUAUGACUUCUGUCGCUACCCUACCUGACUUCAGAGUAAAGCACAGGAUCUAGGCUCCCGGAAAGGAUUGCUCCCAGCAGGAACACCUAUUAGCAGGGCAUCUUUGCAGGCGUUCUGCAUACAAUACUGCUGAAGUUCUGCAGCUGCCUGAGAGACCUGUACAAAGAAAA